AUGAGACUCCUCCUUGUCGCGGCGGCCCUGGUGGCCUGCGCCGCCGCGCACGAGCACCACGGCGAGGCUCCCACCUGCGCCGGCGGCGGUGGUCGCGUGGUCGCGGAGUUCCGCCCCGGGGAGGUGACCCUGGACGGGCACCCCGCCGACUGGGAGGCCGUUGAGGCCUCGGAGUUCGCGUUGCUCCCGGCGCUGGACCCCGACGACGACAAGGCCUACACCGGUGGCAAGGUCGCCGUCAAGGCUGUGCAUGAUGGCGUCAAUGUUUUCUUCAUGCUGCAAGUUGAUGGGGACUAUGCUUACACUAAAGGUGAAAGUAAAAAGUGCCCCUCUGUUGCUCUGAUGUUCCAAGUUGGAGAAAAAGCCACAUAUUACAACAUGGGAGGGUGCAAGGAUUUGCCUGGUUCAUGUACGAGAAAAAGUUGCAGAGAUCAUGAGGUCGACAUUAUGCACUUUUCAGUUGGAAAUGCUAUUCCUGGACGUCUUUAUGGUGGCAAUCACAUAGAUAAUGCAGCUGGAAACGGAGGUGAUAGAUUUGGCCAUCUUGUUGAUGUCUAUGCAUGGAAUCCCCAUUGCCGCUACCUUGAUGGUAUAGGCCCAAAAGAAAACAAUUCAAAUGCUCAAAAUGACUGGCAUGGGGCUUGGUGGCACAGUUCCCUGACCUUCCAUUCAGGUUUUGUGGAUGAUGACAGUCCUUAUGGAAAGAAAGAUGACAAGGGCACAUAUUACUUUGAGUUCUCAAGGCCCCUAAGAACAAUGGACCAGUUUCAGCAGGAUGCGCAGUUCACAAUAGGCGAGCCCAGCAAUAUGGCCGUAGCUUUCUGGUACCCAACUGACGGCAAACCAUGGAGCAACUCCCAGCAUUACUCAGCCAGCUGCGACUGGGUGACUCUGGACAUACAGCCUUCAUUGGAAGCUGCUCGAUACCGCCCAGCCCCUAACCGUUCGUGGGAUGCUGCGACCGCCUUCGCCUUGCUCCUUUCAGUGGUGGCCGUUUGCGUGUCUAUCUUUGUGGGCUACUCAGCUUCGAAGAACAAGAGCGGUGUCCAAUUUACUCAGCUGGCAGAGACCUAG
RNAcentral lists this ribosomal RNA (1074 nucleotides) under Triticum aestivum (bread wheat). RNAcentral's name for it is "partial small subunit ribosomal RNA". Lineage: Eukaryota; Viridiplantae; Streptophyta; Magnoliopsida; Poales; Poaceae. The record is from RNAcentral.